Molecule: ribosomal RNA, 255 nt
Filed under: uncultured bacterium
Lineage: Bacteria
Description: partial 16S ribosomal RNA
Rfam family: Bacterial small subunit ribosomal RNA
Source: RNAcentral
UACGUAGGGUGCGAGCGUUGUCCGGAAUUAUUGGGCGUAAAGAGCUCGUAGGCGGUGUGUCACGUCGUUCGUGAAAACCUGCAGCUUAACUGUGGGCGUGCGGUCGAUACGGGCAUCACUGGAGUUCGGCAGGGGAGACUGGAAUUCCCGGUGUAGCGGUGAAAUGCGCAGAUAUCGGGAAGAACACCCGUGGCGAAGGCGGCUCUCUGGGACGGUACUGACGCUGAGACGCGAAAGCGUGGGGAGCGAACCGGG